RNAcentral lists this ribosomal RNA (444 nucleotides) under uncultured bacterium. Its description in RNAcentral is "bacterial SSU rRNA". It matches the Rfam family "Bacterial small subunit ribosomal RNA", at positions 37 to 507 of the family's 1533-position model. The record is from RNAcentral.
UGGCGGCGUGCCUAAAACAUGCAAGUCGAACGGGUCUUCGGACCCAGUGGCGAACGGCGGAGUAAUACAUAAGCAACGUGCCCUGAAGACUGGGAUAUACGAUGGAAACGUCGGGCAAUACCAGAUGUGGUUGGGAGGAGUCAUCUUCAUCCAAUUAAACGGAUUUAUUCGCUUCGGGAGCGGCUUGUGGCCUAUCAGCUAGUUGGUGAGGUAAAGGCUCACCAAGGCGACGACGGUAGGGGGUCUGAGAGGAUGAUCCCCUCGAGUGGGACUGAGACACGGCCCACACACCUACGGGUGGCAGCAGUUGGGAAUCUUGCACAAUGGGGGAAACCCCUGAUGCAGCGACGCCGCGUGGAGGAUGAAGGAUUUCGGUCUGUAAACUCCUUUUACAGGGAAAGACUUAGGACGGUACCCUGUGAAUAAGCUCCGGCUAACUACGUG